AUUGAACGCUGGCGGCAGGCCUAACACAUGCAAGUCGAGCGGAUGAAGGGAGCUUGCUCCUGGAUUCAGCGGCGGACGGGCGAGUAAUGCCUAGGAAUCUGCCUGGUAGUUGGGGAUAACGUCCGGAAACGGGCGCUAAUACCGCAUACGUCCUGAGGGAGAAAGUGGGGGAUCUUCGGACCUCACGCUAUUAGAUGAGCCUAGGUCGGAUUAGCUAGUUGGUGGGGUAAAGGCCUACCAAGGCGACGAUCCGUAACUGGUCUGAGAGGAUGAUCAGUCACACUGGAACUGAGACACGGUCCAGACUCCUACGGGAGGCAGCAGUGGGGAAUAUUGGACAAUGGGCGAAAGCCUGAUCCAGCCAUGCCGCGUGUGUGAAGAAGGUCUUCGGAUUGUAAAGCACUUUAAGUUGGGAAGAAGGGCAGUAAGUUAAUACCUUGCUGUUUUGACGUUACCGACAGAAUAAGCACCGGCUAACUUCGUG
Molecule: ribosomal RNA, 484 nt
Filed under: uncultured bacterium
Lineage: Bacteria
Description: partial 16S ribosomal RNA
Rfam family: Bacterial small subunit ribosomal RNA
Source: RNAcentral